AACGCGAAGAACCUUACCUGGGCUCGAAAUGUAGGGGACCGGGGUAGAAAUAUCCCUUUCCGCAAGGACCGCUAUAUAGGUGCUGCAUGGCUGUCGUCAGCUCGUGUCGUGAGAUGUUGGGUUAAGUCCCGCAACGAGCGCAACCCUUAUUGCCAGUUGCCAUCAUUUAGUUGGGAACUCUGGCGAAACUGCCUCGGAUAACGGGGAGGAAGGUGGGGAUGACGUCAAGUCCUCAUGGCCUUUAUGUCCAGGGCUACACACGUGCUACAAUGGUCGGUACAAACCGUCGCAAACCCGCGAGGGGGAGCUAAUCGGAAAAAGCCGGCCUCAGUUCGGAUUGGAGUCUGCAAUUCGACUCCAUGAAGCUGGAAUCGCUAGUAAUCGCGGAUCAGAACGCCGCGGUGAAUACGUUCCCGGGCCUUGUACACACCGUAGUAC
RNAcentral lists this ribosomal RNA (438 nucleotides) under uncultured bacterium. RNAcentral's name for it is "bacterial SSU rRNA". It matches the Rfam family "Bacterial small subunit ribosomal RNA", at positions 958 to 1398 of the family's 1533-position model. The record is from RNAcentral.